Molecule: long non-coding RNA, 278 nt
Filed under: Malus domestica (apple)
Lineage: Eukaryota; Viridiplantae; Streptophyta; Magnoliopsida; Rosales; Rosaceae
Description: long non-coding RNA (MDOM_LNC000238)
Source: RNAcentral
UCAUUCAAAGCGAUCGUUUUCAAGCGACCUUCACUACUUGUGAUUAUAAGAUUGUAACUAUUAGGUGAAACUCCCUCAUAAUCUAGCAUCAUAUUCAUGCAUGAAAACUAAGCGUGCACUUUCAAUCAACAUACACAAAUAAGUUAUCAAUCAAAUAGAUGAACGAAUUGAAUCCACAACUUAUGAAAUAACAACUGAAUGUAAUCAAAUCAUAUGCAAGCAUGUACAUGGUUUCGAAUUACCCCCCAACUAAGGGGGUUUAGUUCCUCAUACUCACA